This 2444-nucleotide unclassified non-coding RNA is filed under the name Portunus trituberculatus (swimming crab). RNAcentral's name for it is "monocarboxylate transporter 10-like, transcript variant X1". The record is from RNAcentral. Lineage: Eukaryota; Metazoa; Arthropoda; Malacostraca; Decapoda; Portunidae.
CUCUCUAACGCCUCCCUCCAGUGUCCGGGGCCCCGGGCCUCUCUCCUAUCGCCAUUCGCCAGUGGUCUGCGGUACGUUGUGUAGGUUGGGUGUACGCCGCUGGCUCGUGUGUUCACCGACUCCACGCCUCUCCCAGCUUGAGAAGAGCGGCGGCAGAGCAUAACGAGAGUCCCUCACCGCCAGCCCGUCCCAGGCCCUCCUCCCUCCCUCCCUCCCGCCCCUCCUUCAUCCAGGGCGCGGCCGCAUCCACCACCACCACCGCCACCGUCCUUUCUGGCGCCAGCGGGAGUGGGUGUGGACGGAGUUGCGGAGUUGUCACGUGGUGUGGAGCGCAUCAGAGUAGAGUUUGUGUGUGUGAGUGGGAGUGAGUGAGAGGAAAGCCGCGUGGGAUGGACGGCCGCCUGCACCUCACCAACGGCGUGACGUGACGUGACGUGACGUGACGUAAGGCGCGCUUGUGGCCACGCACGAGACAGCCACAGCCACGCCUCCCCCAUGAACCUCACCCCGCGCAGGGCAGGUCACCACGGGAGGUGCGGCGCGCAGCGAUAGAGUGACGGUCACGGUGGUCAGUGAACAGUGUGCGCUGAGUGGCGAGCGGUGAGCGGUGAACAGUGAGCUAUGGCAGUGCCGGGCAGUGAGGACGGGGCGCUGGUGGAGGUCAACAUGCAGGAUAUCGUGCUCACGCCCCGAAGAGAGGCCCCGCCCGUGGAGGCGUCUGAGCCGAAGGCGGAGGCACACACGGAGGUGGCGGCGGCGGCGCUAACGGAGGCGGAGAAGGCAGAGAAGGUGGCGAUGGAAAAUGGCCACGUGUUGGGUGCAGAGGACGUGCCGCCACCCUACUCCCCGCCGCUCCUGACGUUGGAGAACGCGUCUGGCGCCCUGGAGAGCUACGAGGUGCCCGCCCACGUACUGGCCUUCGUGCCGCCCGACGGAGGCGUUCGGGCGUGGCUGGUGAUGCUGGCCUCCUUCCUCUGCAAUGGCAUCAUCUUCGGCAUCAUCAACACCAGCGGCAUCAUUUACGUCAAGAUCGCAGCCCACCUCAAGGAAGCCGGCGACCCCAACGCCGCCUUCAAAGGAUCUAUGAUGAUGUCGCUGGCCAUCGGAUCCACCUUCCUCUUCUCCGUGCUGGCUGGCGUGCUGACAGACUCUCUGGGCAUCAGAAUCACCACUCUCAUAGGCGGGGCGCUGUCCACGGCUGGCAUGUUCAUUUCCUCAUUCUUCGCAGACAGUGUGGAAAUACUGAUGUUCACCUACGGCAUUAUGUUCGGUGUCGGGGCGUCGCUGGCUUACACCCCUUCCCUUGUCAUCCUCGGCCACUACUUCCAGCGGAGAAUGGGCAUCGUUAACGGCUUUGUCACAGCUGGCUCUUCCAUUUUCACCAUCGGCAUGCCCUUCCUGCUCUCCUAUGUGCUGGAAAUGGGCGUGCAGACUACCUUCCAAAUGCUGGCUGGCCUCACUUCCUUCCUUAUGUUUGCGGCACUGAUCUUCAAGCCGCUCAUGCCCAUCCUGCCCCAGAGCCGUCCCCAAUAUGACAACUCCUGCCAGGGUCGCUGCAAGAGCUUCUGGUCACGCAUCAUUAACUUUGAGAUCUGGCAGAACAAGCGCUAUGUCAUCUGGGCGCUGGCCAUCCCCUCAGCUCUCUUUGGUUACUUCGUUCCCUACAUCCAUUUGGUGGCGUAUGUGAAGGAAGUGUUGGGUGAGGACAUCAACUCCCAGCUGUUAGUGCAGUGCCUGGGCAUCACCUCGCUGGUGGGGCGCCUCGUGUUUGGCAUGGUGGCAGACAGACCCUCCAUCAACCGCAUCUUCCUCCAGCAGGUUUCAUUCUUCUGCAUCGGAGCCUUCACCAUGCUGCUGACGGUGGCCAACCACAUGGCUUUCUUCAUGGUCAUUGCCCUCAUCAUGGGCCUGUUUGACGGCUGCUUCAUCUCCCUGCUGGGCCCCAUCGCCUUCGACAUUGUAGGGCCGGGCGGCGCAUCCCAGGCCAUCGGCUGUCUGCUGGCCAUCUGCUCCAUCCCUCUCACCUUUGGUCCGGCCAUUGCAGGUGCCUUGUACGACCACCUGGGGAGUUACCUGGUGCCGUUCCUGUGUGCUGGUGUGCCUCCCAUUCUCGGCUCCUUCAUCCUCUUCUCCAUCAGCUGCACCAGGAGCCUGCCUGAGGGAGUGCCAGGGUCGCCAGUGAGAGAACCACCAGAGAAGCAGAAUAAUGCCGCAGCUGUGGAUGACCCUAGGGAAACACACAGGCUCAUGACAGAGGAGCAGCAGAGUCGGGUGUAGACCAAGAGGAGGGAGGUGGAGGAGGAGGAGGCUGGGCUAGCAAACAGAGGAAAGCUCGCAGGGACUACAGAGUGAGCAACGGAGACCUGAGUGAACCAAGACCCCUUCCCAGCAGCCCUUCAGAUGAGGCGGUGAAGGUGGAUGUGCGACGGCUUGCCCUGCUGCAG